GUGCUCUAGAAUUGUUUCCUCAGCAGGGUACACCCUUACUUCUUAGACACCUUUGCUUCUUAUCCCACAGGUAUAGCAGGCAUUUUAGUUUAGUUUCUAAAAUUCAACUCACUUUUCCCCUGAAAACUGCUUUUUCUCAGGCCAAGUAAAUGUCAACACCAUGGAUCCAUCAGCCUCAUCAGAAACUGGGGAGUCAUCGUCAGUCCUUUCCUUUACCUCCCUGCUCACCGGCCAUCCGUCCUGCAGAUUCCACCUCCUCAGAACCACUUGGUUACUGAGGUCCCCUCCGAUUCUGUUUGAUCACACUUACAUCCCUGACCGGGUCACUUCACCUGCCUGUGAGAUCCCUCUGCUUCUCCUUGACUACUUCCAAUCUGUCUGCCAUUCUGCCACCCAGACUCAUCUUCACCCAAUAAGUUCAUCUAGGAGGCUUUAACCACCCAAGGCCAACAGAUGGUAUCCAGGCGCUAAAUCAAGAAAGGUGGAACUACAUCCUCCUACUGACAACUGCAGGACAGGGCAGAAGCAGCCUGAGUCCAGGAUGGACAGUAAUGGACCUGGGCCAUGUAGGACAAGGCCUGAGAAGCCCCAAGUCAUCCAGCUGUCCCUGCCUUUGGCCCUUUAGAAGACACAGAGGGAGGAAACACUGGUAUACAGAGGCCAUCGUCCGCUCCUGAUGCCUUUCUGGGACCUCUGCCCUCCUCACUACCUAAGCCCACAAGCUCACCCAGCCAGGCUAGUUCUUACUGCCACCUCCCAGGCCUGCUUCCCUCAAUGACACCUAGGCCACCCAAGACCAGAGCAGACCGGAUGCUGGCCCUCAGCCCCCAAGGCCAUGUCUACACUAAAACCGAAGGAGCCUGGUUGAAACAGGAAUGCAGCUGCUUCAAACUCUCAGAUCUCCAAUCCCACUUAUGCCAGCCCCAAAAGCACAAAGGGAAGGGGCCUCACAUGAGCCAAGCCUAGCUGCUCCUUGGUGGUCCUACCAGCUGCUCUGGAAGGUGUGAUGACCACCAGGCAGACCUACGUGUUAUGGGCCACGUUCCCAACCCUUCAGAUUGCCGCGUGCAAGCCUCCAGGUGCUCAUUGCUGCUACUGACUCACCUGUGAAUGGACUCUAGACAGAAACUCUAAGGACAGAUGCAGAGUAAAAGGGACCUGCGGAGGUUCUAGGGCCCUAACUGUGAGAUGUGGGGAAAGAUCCUCAGACCAAUGUCAGUGCUAAUGCUAAAUGAGCACUGGGAUCCAGGAGAGGUGGUCACCCAGGAAAUGGAAAACUGAGCCCAGUUCUGUAAGUCUGCACAAGGCACUCAAAGGAGAUCUCAGUGUGCCACCUCCAGCUGCCAGAGACAGGCUCCAAAGGAUUUGAAGAGGAAGUCGGGGGUAAAACCAACACUGCUAAGUAGAUCUGGCCCAUUGAAAUGCCAGGGGGGUGGUGGUGGCUGAGGAGAGGAGCAACUCCAGAGAAAAAGCCUCAAACUCCCUGGGGACCCUGCAACUAAUUCCCUGUACCCCUUCUAUCCAGGCCACAGAUUUGAUUUCUGGCUUUUUCUCUUGCUCCCACAUUCUUAUGGCUACACUGGGGAAGGAAACAAAUAUCCACAGUUGACAGAGUAAAAGCUUUCCCAUUCCACACUCAAAGCCCUGGGUUAGCAACACUGUCCUUUGGAAACCUAUGGGCCUCCCCAUACUUCAGGACAAUCCAAUGCAGAGGGUCCCUGAACCUCCCUCUGAGGAAUGGGAAGAGGCCAUCAGCCAAACUCACCGGAGGCCCAGACACAGCCGGGACACACAGGUGAGGGAGCAGCAGUAAGCUCUUCCCCUGGCUGUCCCACCACUCCCUGUGGCCAGGGCUUCCCCUCCCACAAAGUCCAAACCGACUACAAACUCCUAAAUCGUUUGUUAUCUGUGCCACUCAAGUUAAAGCUCAAAUGCAUUAAAGUGCCUUGAUGUCAUCUCAGCCGCUCUGCUUCGCAGCACGGACCCUGGUGUGCGUGGUCUCAGCGUGGCGCCUCCUACUGACAGCUGCAGGACAAGGCAGAAGCAGCUGGGGUCCAGGACUGACAGGAAUGGUGGCAGACUUGGGUCACCUCCCCUGCCCCUUCCUUGGCCAUCCCCAGGCCAAUCUGGGCUCUCCUAAGUGCUCCCCAAACCAAUAGGAGGUGGGACCCUCACGCAGAGGACAGUGGGGAGGGGAGCCAUGGGGCAGGAAGCUGUGCCUUGUGCCUGGAGCUGAGGAAGGCACCCAGCCCAGGACAGGGACCCUCAGAACCCUAAGAUUAGAGGAGCACAUCGCAGAGCCAGUACCAGUGGCCCAGCUCUCCUGGUAGGCGCCCAGAGUCUCGCGAACCGGGCCACAGGCUGGGAGCCAAAGCUCCUGGGGCCCUGAAACCCCGCAGAGUGCGCUCUGGG
RNAcentral lists this long non-coding RNA (2412 nucleotides) under Fukomys damarensis (Damara mole-rat). RNAcentral's name for it is "lncRNA (ENSFDAG00000024114.1)". Lineage: Eukaryota; Metazoa; Chordata; Mammalia; Rodentia; Bathyergidae. The record is from RNAcentral.